UAACGGCGAGUGAAGCGGCAACAGCUCAAAUUUGAAAUCUGGCCUCCUUGCGGGGUCCGAGUUGUAAUUUGCAGAGGAUGCUUUUGGCGAGGAGCCUUCCAAGUUCCCUAGAAUGGGACGCCAUAGAGGGUGAGAGCCCCGUACGGUUGGAUUCCGAGCCUCUGUAAAGCUCCUUCGACGAGUCGAGUAGUUUGGGAAUGCUGCUCUAAAUGGGAGGUAAACCCCUUCUAAAGCUAAAUACUGGCCAGAGACCGAUAGCGCACAAGUAGAGUGAUCGAAAGAUGAAAAGCACUUUGAAAAGAGAGUUAAACAGCACGUGAAAUUGUUGAAAGGGAAGCGCUUGUGACCAGACUUGCGCCUGGCAGCUCAGCCGUCCCUCCGGGGCGGUGCACUCUGCCGGCUCAGGCCAGCAUCAGUUCGCGGUCGGGGAGAAAAGCGGCGGGAACGUGGCUCUUCGGAGUGUUAUAGCCCGCUGCAAUACCCUUCCGCGGACUGAGGUUCGCGCAUCUUGCAUGGAUGCUGGCGUAAUGGUUAUCAGCGACCCGUCUUGAAACACGGACCAAGGAGUCGUCCUAAUAUGCGAGUGCUAGGGUGUAAAACCCCUGCGCGGAAUGAAAGUGAACGGAGGUGAGAGCUCGGCGCAUCAUCGACCGAUCCUGAUGUUCUCGGAUGGAUUUGAGUAAGAGCAUAUUGGGCCGGACCCGAAAGAAGGUGAACUAUGCCUGUAUAGGGUGAAGCCAGAGGAAACUCUGGUGGAGGCUCGCAGCGGUUCUGACGUGCAAAUCGAUCGUCAAAUAUGGGCAUGGGGGCGAAAGACUAAUCGAACCUUUUAGUAGCUGGUUUCCGCCGAAGUUUCCCUCAGGAUAGCAGUGUUGAACUUCAGUUUUAUGAGGUAAAGCGAAUGAUUAGGGACUCGGGGGCGCUAUUUUGCCUUCAUCCAUUCUCAAACUUUAAAUAUGUAAGAAGCCCUUGUUGCUUAGGUGAACGUGGGCAUUCGAAUGUACAACACUA
This 1011-nucleotide ribosomal RNA is filed under the name Marinospora calyptrata. Its description in RNAcentral is "eukaryotic LSU rRNA". It matches the Rfam family "Eukaryotic large subunit ribosomal RNA", at positions 84 to 1125 of the family's 3401-position model. Lineage: Eukaryota; Fungi; Ascomycota; Sordariomycetes; Microascales; Halosphaeriaceae. The record is from RNAcentral.